RNAcentral lists this ribosomal RNA (189 nucleotides) under uncultured bacterium. RNAcentral's name for it is "partial 16S ribosomal RNA". It matches the Rfam family "Bacterial small subunit ribosomal RNA", at positions 338 to 524 of the family's 1533-position model. The record is from RNAcentral.
CCUACGGGAGGCAGCAGUGAGGAAUAUUGGUCAAUGGGCGCGAGCCUGAACCAGCCAAGUAGCGUGAAGGAUGAAGGCUCUAUGGGUCGUAAACUUCUUUUAUAUGGGAAUAAAGUUUUCCACGUGUGGAAUUUUGUAUGUACCAUAUGAAUAAGGAUCGGCUAACUCCGUGCCAGCAGCCGCGGUAAU